GGCGGCAUGCCUUACACAUGCAAGUCGAACGGCAGCACGGGGGGUAACUCCUGGUGGCGAGUGGCGAACGGGUGAGUAAUAUAUCGGAACGUGUCCUGUAGCGGGGGAUAACCUAUCGAAAGAUGGACUAAUACCGCAUACGCUCUACGGAGGAAAGCGGGGGUUCUUGGGCAACUGAGGACCUCGCACUAUAGGAGCGGCCGAUAUCGGAUUAGCUAGUUGGCGGGGUAAAAGCCCACCAAGGCGACGAUCCGUAGCUGGUCUGAGAGGAUGAUCAGCCACACUGGAACUGAGACACGGUCCAGACUCCUACGGGAGGCAGCAGUGGGGAAUUUUGGACAAUGGGCGCAAGCCUGAUCCAGCCAUGCCGCGUGAGUGAAGAAGGCCUUCGGGUUGUAAAGCUCUUUCGGCAGGAACGAAAUGGUUCGUGUUAAUACCACGGACUGAUGACGGUACCUGAAGAAGAAGCACCGGCUAACUACGUGCCAGCAGCCGCGGUAAUACGUA
RNAcentral lists this ribosomal RNA (507 nucleotides) under uncultured beta proteobacterium. RNAcentral describes it as "bacterial SSU rRNA". It matches the Rfam family "Bacterial small subunit ribosomal RNA", at positions 38 to 529 of the family's 1533-position model. The record is from RNAcentral. Lineage: Bacteria; Pseudomonadati; Pseudomonadota; Betaproteobacteria.